This 253-nucleotide ribosomal RNA is filed under the name uncultured bacterium. RNAcentral describes it as "partial 16S ribosomal RNA". It matches the Rfam family "Bacterial small subunit ribosomal RNA", at positions 524 to 776 of the family's 1533-position model. The record is from RNAcentral.
UACGGGGGGGGCAAGCGUUGUUCGGAAUUACUGGGCGUAAAGGGCUCGUAGGUGGCCAACUAAGUCGGACGUGAAAUCCCUCGGCUUAACCGGGGAACUGCAUCCGAUACUGGAUGGCUUGAGUUCGGGAGAGGGAUGCGGAAUUCCAGGUGUAGCGGUGAAAUGCGUAGAUAUCUGGAGGAAUACCAGUGGCGAAGGCGGCCUUCUGGACUGACACUGACGCUGAGGCGCGAAAGCCAGGGGAGCAAACGGG